Molecule: long non-coding RNA, 2728 nt
Organism: Megalobrama amblycephala (Wuchang bream)
Lineage: Eukaryota; Metazoa; Chordata; Actinopteri; Cypriniformes; Xenocyprididae
Exons: 3
Source: RefSeq, a predicted model, not a curated record
AUCAGUGAUUUAUGGACUGAGGAGUGAUGUUAUCUUUGGAAGAAGGUUAACCGUGUUCUUCGCAUGUUUAAAUGAAGGGUGAAGGUGUUGCAUACCAUUACUUGUGUCAAUUCCAUUAAUGAAAAGCACUCAUGAUUCCUCAUUUAAAACCACAAUCCCACACAGUUCAGUAAAUUCAUAUUAAGUGAAGACUUUUAAUGUAUAAUCUUAUCCAGCUAACUAAAAGGAGGGUUUACGACUUCAUGACCCUUGAGGGCGAUAGAGGUAAACAGGUUUAGCUUGGUGCCUUGACUUCUCAAUGGUAGUUUGUUAUUAUAAUGACAGAGAGACGCAAUGACCUUAACUGAGAAAAAAAACUCUAACAAUUAGGUUUAUUUGCAGAUAUUGCAGGAACACAAUGCAUAAACAGGUAAGUGAUGAUACUUGAGAUUGAAUGCUGAUGAGAUAGACUUGUAAUGUUAACUUUGAGUCUUUGUCUUACAGUAGUGGUCUCAAACUCAAAUCAUGGAGGGCCACAGCUCUGCACGAUUUUGCUCCAACCCUAAUCAAACACAACUGAUCCAGCUAAUCAAGGUCUUCAGGAUUACUAGAAACUUCCAAACAGGUGUGAGUUGGAGCUGGUUGGAGCUAAACUCUGCAGAGUCUGAGUUUGAGACCACUGUCUUACAAAAUCGUUGGAGCACAAACACACAUGGGGGAACGACCUUGAGACGAGGGAUGACUGAAAGAUGACUUGGAUGAGAUAACAGCAGUAGCUAGCAAUAAUCAGGCAGAAAAAGCAGAUGAAUUCCAGGUGCAUGUGGUUAGGUGCCAGGGAGGAUGAUGGGAAAUGCAGUCCAGGAGUGGAGUCCAAAGGUCCACCACCACACUGAUCGACCAUUUGUGCAGUUGUACAAGAUUUUCAUUUGACCUCCAUUGAAGAUGCUCUGUGGAUCAUUUCAAAUCAUGCUGGAGAACAUGAUCAUCAUCGUUUUAUGUUCAUCAGUUCAUGAAGACGCAUGCCCUGAUGAAAAAUCCAGCAUUGCUGGUCACCAGCAUAAGGUCUGGCUUGUUGAAUAACUUUCAAGUUCCUGUGGAGAAAAUGAAUGGGAAAACACUUCUGCAAGCAACCCAGGUCAUCGAGAAAGUGGCCGCCCACCGUUGCGCUCUGUUCCAGGAGCUGAAAACCUUGAUUCCUUGACAAAAAGCUCUACAGGAGGUUCAUCUGCUCAUUGUUCUGCUCAGGUGUGUGUGUGUGUGUGUGUGUGUGUGUGGUGUCCAGGUGUGCAUUUCUUUCUGUCCAAGUGUCUGAUCUCACUGUAACGAAGGAUGCUCUCAUUAAUAUUCAGCGGGAGGCACAACAAGCCAUCAGGUACGAUUCACUAUUUGUUUCAGCACAUCUGAGACACAGCCACAUCAAUACAGUACAUUUAUACCCUAACAAGAACAACUGUACUCCUUUCAUCCCUCUCCUCAGGUUCCCAUUGUCUACUUAAUAAUGAAAACCAAUUAGGUAGGUAUACAAAGCCCCUUGGCGUAUGCUGCUUUUUGUCUCUUUUCCAUCCACAGGCAAAUUUUUCUGUGUUUAUGGAACACUACGAGAUUCUUACAGAUCCUCUGGGUCGCAAUCAGGACAAAGUCCGCCAGCCCUGUAUUUCCCAUUUUGUCGGUGCUUAUUUCCAUCUAAAUGAACGUGUUAGCGGUAACAGGUUUGUGUGCGAGUGUGCACGCAGCCGGCCGUCUGAAAGCUGAAGGAUAUGAGAGAGGGCAGCUCAGAUUGUAUCUGUGGAUAAAUUAUUCAGAGUUCAGCUUCUCUAUCCAAUGACCCCACUAACAGAGCACAAAUUAUUUAGCAAGCUGCCAGAGCGAUAGUGAUGCUACACGCGCGAAACGCGGCCUCCCUGAGCAGAACCACGGGUGUACGAGGCCACCGGGGGGAGGGAGGGAGACGAAGAGAGAGAGAGAGAGAGAGAGAGAGAGAACCUUAUACAUAUUCAUCCAUUGCAUCAGCUCACAGAUGUUCUGAUUUCCCAUUGUCACUAAUGUCCUAGUCUCCCCAAACAGCAGGUGAGAUUAAGGCCUUCAUUAACACGCUGAUCUAAGAAUACUUUCUUUGUUUUUCUUUCAUCGACUGUCUCUCUGUCUUUUGUAAGAAGAGAAUGUACGGAGAGACUCCUGUAGCAGGUGAUGAGAUGAUAGCGGCAGGACCCGAACUUGUUCAGGGUUGUUUGGGGACACUAGCACACCGCUGAUGUCUCAGGUGUCCGUUCUGUACCCAGCAUUCAACACCAGCACCUGAAAGCUGACACAUGCUGGGUUUGGUGGCAGACUGCCUUAUAGUUGACGCCGUAGUCUAAUUAUGUCCUUGAAUGUAAUAAAGCCUGAAUUCAAUGGACACAAUAUUGAUAUUUCUCUGAGAUGCAAACAUAUUUUAUACUGGGAUAAUUUUCAUAUUGAAAGCAAAUCAACGAAGAAUAAAAUAUGUGGGAUUUAAUUCAUUGCUUCAUUUUUCUAAAUGCCACUGAUGAAACUCAUGUACAUCUUUAUAUAAUACAAUAUCAGAUCUUUGUUCAUGGAGUAGGACAUGACAAAAUUAUUGACUUGUGUUUCAGUAAGUGAGUCUGCUAAAAAGAAUCGAGAAUGCAGCUUCACUAGUUGUACUGUUUGAUGUUCUCUAAAAAGGACCGGCUUGUAAAAGUCAUCUGCUUCAAAAUGAGACUUUACAUGUCAUGCCGUUUUCAAUUCACUA